RNAcentral lists this ribosomal RNA (494 nucleotides) under Gobiodon histrio (broad-barred goby). RNAcentral describes it as "partial 16S ribosomal RNA". It matches the Rfam family "Bacterial large subunit ribosomal RNA", at positions 1857 to 2555 of the family's 2925-position model. Lineage: Eukaryota; Metazoa; Chordata; Actinopteri; Gobiiformes; Gobiidae. The record is from RNAcentral.
GCCUGCCCUGUGACAAAAGUUUAACGGCCGCGGUAUUUUGACCGUGCGAAGGUAGCGUAAUCACUUGUCUUUUAAAUGGAGACCUGUAUGAAUGGCAUAACGAGGGCUAGACUGUCUCCUUUCCCCCGUCAAUGAAAUUGAUCUCCCCGUGCAGAAGCGGGCAUACCAACAUAAGACGAGAAGACCCUAUGGAGCUUUAGACCCCGCAGCAGCCCACGUCAAAACCCUUAAACCACUAAGCCUAAACAAAGUGCCCCCUGCUGCAGGUCUUUGGUUGGGGCGACCGCGGAGAAACAACUAACCCCCGCGUGGUACGGGCCACACCCUAAAGCCAGAGCCACAGCUCUAACAAGCAGAAUAUCUGACCUUCAAGAUCCGGCAUUGCCGAUUAACGGACCAAGUUACCCUAGGGAUAACAGCGCAAUCCUCUUUCAGAGCUCAUAUCGACAAGAGGGUUUACGACCUCCAUGUUGGAUCAGGACCACCUAAUGGUG